GACGAACGCUGGCGGCGUGCUUAACACAUGCAAGUCGAACGGAACGGUCCGGCUUUGGUGGGGUGCUCGAGGUGCGAACGGGUGAGUAACACGUGAGUUACCUGUCCCUGACUGUGGGAUAACUUCAGGAAGCUGGGGGUCAUACCGGCUAGGAGCUCCUGCUGUAUGGUGGGGGUUGGAAGGUUUCGGCGGUUGGGCAUGGACUCGCGGCCUAUCAGCAUGUUGGUGUGGUAGUGGCUUAGCAAGGCUUUGCCGGGUAGCCGGCCUGAGAGGGUGACAGUGCACAUUGAGACUGAGAUACGGCCCAGACUCCGACGGGAGGCAGAAGUAGGGGAGAGGGCACAAGGGGCGGAAGCGUGAUGCAGAUACGCCGCGGGCGGGAUAACGGCCAUCGCGUUGGAAACCGAUUUCUCCUGUGACCAAGCGGGAAAGGAGGUAAUGGGUAGAGAAGCACCGGCUUACUACGUG
Molecule: ribosomal RNA, 468 nt
Filed under: uncultured bacterium
Lineage: Bacteria
Description: partial 16S ribosomal RNA
Rfam family: Bacterial small subunit ribosomal RNA
Source: RNAcentral